Molecule: long non-coding RNA, 664 nt
Organism: Herpailurus yagouaroundi (jaguarundi)
Lineage: Eukaryota; Metazoa; Chordata; Mammalia; Carnivora; Felidae
Exons: 2
Source: RefSeq, a predicted model, not a curated record
ACCUGAGCUGAGAUCAAGAGUCUGACACUUAACCGCCUGAGCUGCCCAGGGAAGUUAUCAGUGGGGGUGCUGGAACUCCCAUUCUCUCCCAGCAGUCAUGAGGAGCAUCUCAGCUUGGAAGUCAAGAAGGCCAAGUGCAAACCUGCACUUUCACCCCCACCUGGCAGUAAUGAGGCAGCACUCCCUUCCCUGGCUGGAGUGGGGUCAGAAAAAGCCAUACAGGGUUUAAGUAAGAUCCAGAGUCUCAUAACAUAUUAUCUAAAAUGUCCUGAUUCCAUUAAAAAAUCAUUGUCCUAUCAAGAACCAGGCAGAGCCCAAAUAGAAUGAAAAAAUACACUCAACAGAUGCCAACACUGAGAUGGCAGAGAUGUUAGAGUUACCUGGCAGAGAUUAUGAAGCAUUCAUCAUAAAAAUGUUUCAACUAGCAACUAUGAAUACACUUGAAACAAGUGAAAAAACAGAAAGUCUCAGCAAAGAAAUAGAAGAAGAAGCAAUUAGAAAUUUUGAGAAAUAAAAAAAUAUAGUGAAAAACUAAAAUGAAAAACUCAAUGGAUGAGCCCAGUAGCAGCAUCUAGGAGACAGAGGAGAGAAUCCAUGACCUUGGAGACAGGACAAUAGAAAUUACUCAAUCUGAGCAAUAGAGAGAAUAGGCUGGAAAAAAAAA